GUUAUAAAAAUAAUUUUUCAAAGUUUAUCAAUGAUAUAAUUAAAAUACACUAUUCUUUUGUUUGAAUAUCUGUAGCUCAGUCCAUUUUUAAGACAUUCUGUUCUGAAGAGGACAUUCAAUGUCACUCUACCAAAUCCUUCCCUGAUCAAGAGAGAAAACACUUUUACUACAGGACAAAAAGCCAAACAAAAACGCUCAGGAAGCAAAGUAAAAUCUUCUAAAUGUUACUAGUCACCCUACAUAAAACUAGAAAGCCCAGAAGAAAGGACACAAGAUCCAUGCUCCUGACCUUAGGAUAACUGAUUUAAACUUUUCUUCACCUUUCAAAUGGUAAGUUCUUAAACUGCCACUUGCGUCUAUUUCAUUAGUGUUGCAGGAUUUUUUUUUUUACCUCAAUACCCGGGAUUGGUUGUCUUGCUGUUUCAAAGAAUGAAGAGGUGAACACAAAAUAAAAUAAGCAGCAGGCAAGAGUUUAUUACA
This 480-nucleotide long non-coding RNA is filed under the name Felis catus (domestic cat). RNAcentral describes it as "lncRNA (ENSFCAG00000053521.1)". The record is from RNAcentral. Lineage: Eukaryota; Metazoa; Chordata; Mammalia; Carnivora; Felidae.